This 472-nucleotide ribosomal RNA is filed under the name uncultured bacterium. RNAcentral describes it as "bacterial SSU rRNA". It matches the Rfam family "Bacterial small subunit ribosomal RNA", at positions 355 to 825 of the family's 1533-position model. The record is from RNAcentral.
UCGGGAAUUUUGGGCAAUGGGCGAAAGCCUGACCCAGCCAUUCCGCGUGAGUGAAGAAGGCCUUCGGGUUGUAAAGCUCUUUCGGACGGAACGAAACGGUUAGCGUGAAUAGCGCUGACUAAUGACGGUACCGUAAGAAGAAGCACCGGCUAACUACGUGCCAGCAGCCGCGGUAAUACGUAGGGUGCGAGCGUUAAUCGGAAUUACUGGGCGUAAAGCGUGCGCAGGCGGCGGCACAAGUCAGGUGUGAAAUCCCCGGGCUUAACCUGGGAAUUGCGCUUGAAACUAGGUCGCUUGAGUGUGGCAGAGGGGGGUGGAAUUCCACGUGUAGCAGUGAAAUGCGUAGAGAUGUGGAGGAACACCGAUGGCGAAGGCAGCCCCCUGGGUCAACACUGACGCUCAUGCACGAAAGCGUGGGGAGCAAACAGGAUUAGAUACCCCCGUAGUCCCUGAGCGGGCUGGCAAGGCGCAU